CAUUGAGAAGCUUUUACAGCGCUAGCCUUUUAAGCUAGAGAUGAAGACAAUCAGCCUUCCUCAGUGAA
Molecule: transfer RNA, 68 nt
Filed under: Brachymeles apus
Lineage: Eukaryota; Metazoa; Chordata; Lepidosauria; Squamata; Scincidae
Description: tRNA-Lys
Source: RNAcentral